CACCCUCCUGACAGCCGAUGACGCUAUGGACUCUAGCCAAUCACAACGCACGACAGCCGUCACGUUUGCAGAAGUAGCCAAUGGGAGCAGGGAAGGCGAGAGACCAAUAGGAAUAGGCCGGGUUCCUGGCGCACCCAGAGAGCAUUUCGAAACCUGACGUGGGCGGGGCGAAGGAAAAGAGGCGGAGGAUGAUGGGAGAAGUUUUGCGGCGAUUGUGACGCGCGUCCGUAGCUGUUUUAGGAAAGCCGCGUAGUGCUCCGUGUCUGAGAAAAUAUUCCCCAGCGGGACGACACAGAAGUGCUCCUGUCUUGACUUCCCCACAUUGAGGGCCCGUGCCCUGGAAUUGUGAAUGAAAAUAAAGUCCUUUCUCUCUGACAUUGUUUAUUGUCAGAGUAUUUUAUCACAGUGACAGAAAUGAAGCUAGACUAACUAUAAACGUAGUUUAGCAUUCCAACCUUAAAAGAGAUUAGGAAGGACUCAAAAAACACAUUAUGUCACAUGAAGGAUUAUGCUGUAAUAAAUCCAGCUAAUGGCUCCACAUCUUUGUUCUAGAGACGUUCAUUCGGAAGCUCCCUAGAAGGAAACUAUAGAGACACAAGAGGGAUCCUCCUGCUUAGUGUUCCGCAGGACCUGUGGGUAAUGACUUGUUCCACUGGCAUGCCACCAUCAGAGGCCCGAAUGACAGUCCUUACCAAGGAGGUGUUUUUUUUCUGACCAUCCACUUCCCUACAGGUUAUCUUUUCAACCCCCCAAAAGGUUGCUUUCACUACCAGAAUCUAUCACCCUAAUAUCAACAGCAAUGGCAGCAUUUGCCUGGACAUCUUGAGAUCACAGUGGUCCCCAGCAUUGACUGUGUCCAAAGUUCUCCUGUCUAUCUGCUCUCUGCUCUGCGACCCCAACCCUGAUGACCCACUGGUGCCAGAAAUAGCCCACACUUACAAGGCUGACAAAGAGAAGUAUGCGCGCCCUCUUUGGGUUGGCUUUGUGUGCAGCUGCCCAGGUUCCCACGGACAUCUUCCUGCCCAAGCCAAGCCCAUGUACAACAGACUAGCAAGAGAGUGGACACAGAAAUAUGCUAUGUAAGUGCUCCAUGGGAGACCCUGUCCAAGAGAAGCUUACCAGGUAGAGAAGUGAUCCUGUGAAGCUUGGAGCUCUUAGCCAAGGCACUCACGGAACAUCCUCUGUUCAAACAUGUGUUGGCACUCACUUCUCUGGCUGCAGCAUGUUGGUGCCACUUUCAGCCACUGUGGCCUUGAGAGUACCACACCUGUAAUGCCAAAUCAGCAACCACUGUUAUGAUCUACAGUCUUCCUGGCUACACUAGAACCAGUCUAGGCACCAGUCUGUCCGCUUGUCUCUGUGGAACCAAGCCAUACAUGCCUCCCGUACUUGUCCUCAAGUGGUGCCACCAUGCACUGUGGUACUGUACAGGGGCCCAGCCUGCCCCCUGACCACAUACCCUUUGCCUUUAGAGCACAGUGCUUUCCUGAGGGCCCAGGCAGAGUGGGCAUCUUCAUACUUUGUCUGCCACAGAGUCAACCACAGAACUGUAUCCUCAGGAGUUCGAGUGUAUCCUGGAGGCUCCUGGAAAUUGGAACAACAUUCCCUGAAAGCCACCUUCCUCCAUAGUGCUAUAGCUGCAAACAGAGAGUGAGGAGCAUCAGGGCAUUUAAAGCAUGAACACCCCAAAAAGGAUGGGCUCCAAUCCAGGACCUCACGCUUGCUAGGCAAGCACUCUACCAACUGAACUACAUCAUUAGCCCUCAUGCCUCUUUUCUUGUUACCCAGCAACAGACAAAGGUAUUUCUCUUGUUAAGGCUAUUACUUGUGGUCCUCUGCCUGUACUUUUUCUUCCUUUAAAUUGUAUACCAUUGGCUCUUCAGCAUCAUAUGACAUCUCAAAUAUCAUUCUUGUGCG
Molecule: long non-coding RNA, 1917 nt
Organism: Mastomys coucha (southern multimammate mouse)
Lineage: Eukaryota; Metazoa; Chordata; Mammalia; Rodentia; Muridae
Exons: 2
Source: RefSeq, a predicted model, not a curated record